GGAAGGAUCAUUAACACAAAUAUCCAAAUAUCAAAAACUCAACGUGAACCAUAACGGUGCGUGGGAAGAAGUAUGGGCAAAGGAUGAACGAUGAGUGUGAAAGUCGAUACCAGCCAUUUUCUUCCAGCAUCGAGCACACGAAUGCGUCAAUAGUAUUGGGCAGUCGAUAGUGCUCUGCUGGUUAAGAACUUGCACGCUCCUUCAUCCAUAGGCGCAGGCAUUGUCUGACGACCUACGUAGCCUUGUAUUGUCAACCCCGACUGUUAACCCGAGCCGUUCUCUUUUGGUGUGUUCGCUUCGCGAUGGGUUUCAAUCUGUUGCAUGCAGCAAACAUGUCAAAAGAAGCGUUUUGCUCCCAACCCUUGUGCCUUUUUGAACGCAUCUGGUUGUCGCAUUUUUCACAAACCCCCUUCGGCAAAUGUCUAAUAUAACCCCUGGUCGAAAGACCAACAAUUCCGAAAUAAUCGUAAAGAACAACUCUUAACAACGGAUAUCUCGGCUCUCGUAUCGAUGAAGAACGCAGCAAAAUGCGAUACGUAAUGCGAAUUGCAGAAUUCCGUGAAUCAUCGAAUUUUUGAACGCAAAUGGCGCUCUUUGGAUAUUCCUUGGAGCACGCCUCUCUGAGUAUCGGUUCAACAAACUCAGCUCCCCUUCCUUUCGAGAAAGGUGUGUGUCUGGAGAGUGAGCGUCUCGGCUUAUCUUUGUGAGGCGGAGUCGCUUGAAAAUCAAGGAGUUAUACGAGAAGAUCACUGGUCUGAGUCGAUCACUUUUCAAGUGGUUGGCAGCCUAGGUCUUUGGCGUGGAUAAGGUGCUUGAAGGAAAGUCGAAUCAUUCGUGAUUCUUCACACAAUUCUUGAGCUCGAAACGCACACUGAUCAACUAGUGAGAAUGAGAAUGGCAAUCAGAUUGACAAAGUGCUUCUCAACAAUGUAUGACUCGAACCCUGUUUUGGAUUCGUCUCUCUCUCCAUCAGAGAUGGACGGAAAAGAAACAACAUACCCCUGAAUUUUAGAUCUCAGAUGAAGCGAGACUACCCGCUGAACUUAAGCAUAUUAUUAAGCGGAGGAAAAGAAACUAACAAGGAUUCCCCUAGUAACGGCGAGUGAAGCGGGAAUAGCUCAACCUUAAAAUCGGCCGGCCUAACGGCUUGUCGAAUUGUAGGCUAGAGACGUAAUGUCAGCGUGCGACCUGGGUAUAAAUCCUUGAAACAGGGUAUCAUAGAGGGUGAGAAUCCCGUCUUUGACUUAGGUCAGCCGUGUACGACAUGCGUUCUAAGAGUCGUGUAGCUUGGGAAUGCUGCACAAAAUGGGAGGUAAAUUUCUUCUAAAGCUAAAUAUUGACGAGAGACCGAUAGCGAACAAGUACCGUGAGGGAAAGAUGAAAAGAACUUUGAAAAGAGAGUUAAAAAGUACUUGAAAUUGUUAGGAGGUAAGCACUGGAAACCAGUCGUGCCUGGCGAUAUAUUUACCAUUUACGUUUGAAGACUUCUGUGUCGAGAGUACUACCUCUCGGCGUUGGGUCGGAAAGACGCAGGUGGGUCCUGUAUCGUCGCGGUGAGUCAGAAUCAAUUCGAGCUGCGGCAGAAAGCUGUCGGGAAGGUGGGAGGAGUGUGCUUGCACAUGACUCUGUUAUAGCCUGACAUGCCAUACCGCGGCUUGGAUUGAGGUACGGGCUUUAAGUCCGCGUGUCAUCUGGGUUCAGUUCCCUGCGAGCUGUCUCUGUCGUCGACAACAAGUUGUACCGGUGGAGCGGUCAGUACUGGUUCGGUUCUCAUGGUGGCAUUCGCGAUUCUGACGAAAUGGUUGUCAGUGACCCGUCUUGAAACACGGACCAAGGAGUCUAACAUAUAUGCGAGUACCAAGGUGGCAAACCUUUGUGCGUAAUGAAAGUAAAGGAAGUCCUUGCGGCUUCUGAGAUAGGAACCGUUCCUUCGGGGGCGGGGCACUAUCGACCGAUCAAUCACUUGUGAAAGAUUUGAGUAAGAGCAUAUCUGUUGGGACCCGAAAGAUGGUGAUCUAUGCCUGAACAGGGUGAAGCCAGGGGAAACUCUGGUGGAAGCUCGUAGCGAUACUGACGUGCAAAUCGUUCGUCUGAUUUGGGUAUAGGGGCGAAAGACUAAUCGAACCAUCUAGUAGCUGGUUCCCUC
This 2146-nucleotide unclassified non-coding RNA is filed under the name uncultured fungus. RNAcentral describes it as "sequence contains 18S rRNA gene, ITS1, 5.8S rRNA gene, ITS2, 28S rRNA gene". The stretch from base 1011 to 2146 matches the Rfam family "Eukaryotic large subunit ribosomal RNA", at positions 1 to 961 of the family's 3401-position model. The record is from RNAcentral. Lineage: Eukaryota; Fungi.